AAUUAGAUCUUCAAAUUUACUCAGCUGAAUUUUGUUUUUUAACACAGUCAAAUGCUGGUGUAUGUUUUUCUUAUAUCUCCUUCGGCAGCCAGCAUUGUGUGCUAAAGUAGAGUAAGCCAGCUAUAAACACUGGUCAAAUAAAAGCACAAAUUAGUGUUUUCCUACUACCCUCUUUUUUCACAUAAUUUCCUUGCCUUCUACUUUACCCUUCAUGACAAGACUCAAUGUCUAUGUAUAAUGUGUCUUGAAGUUUUUAGAAAGAUAGCUGUAAAAAUCUAGUAAAUGAGUAAUAGUGAUAAUACCUGAAGAAUUCUAUCCAUUGAAGAUUCCGUUAAUUUGGACUUAAGCCUGCUAUAGCGCAUUGACAAUCGGUUUCAAAAAGUGAAGUGCAGUGGAAGGAGAACAAGAUUACAAAUCAGGGGGUCUAAUCCUCUUCCCGUGUGCCCCUAACUUGCUCGGUGACCUUGGACAGACGCUUAUCUUCUUUAUGCCUCCAGCCUCCUUCUGUAAAGGGAUGAGCUGUAGCCAAUGUCCUCUUCCUGGUAAUGGACAGAGCCGGGGCCACUGUCCGGAGAGGAGAUAGAAUCCUGUCAGAACAGCUUUUCUUUACCACUUCUGGAUCUGCUCCGGAGUUAGAAGGCUGGCGUCUCCAUCAUUCAAUAUUUCACCCCAGCACCAAACCGACAUGGAUACUUUUGAUAUCAUUCAAGGUGCCUCUAAAGAAGGAUACAGUCUGGGAUCAGUUUAAAUGGAAUCCAUCUGAAAGAACCAGAAGGAAUGAUGGUUUCAGACAUGGAGAAUGUUCUGCUUCUAUUUUAGCAAUAAAUUUGACCUUUGUUUUUCUGGCAGCCGAGGCAUAAGGAGUAACAUGAAUGGACUAUUUAUACUUGCUGGACAAAUAGUAGGCUCAAUAAAUAUUUUUUCAUUGACUCUCAACCACCCCUUAGUUGGGAAGGCAAAAUACUGAUAGAGAAGUCCCAGAAGAAUGGAGCACAGGGUGGGUGGCUAGAAAGGUUUUUGGUGAAGGGAGAAUCCUAAAACAAGCUUCAAACUCCCCUGUCUCAACCCGUUGCCAAGGCUAGGCCAUUCUGAGAAAUUCCCAUGAUACAUGCAGGCCACCAGCAUGGCUCCAGGAGGUGAGGCAUGCCCAGUCGUUCCCUGUAGCAGUUCCAUUCCAGGAUGGAAGGUCCAUCUUGAUCUGUAGGCCAGAUAUUUCUUUGAGGAAAAUGUAGCAUUGUCUCUUUUACCCAAUCACAUACCUUUGGAAGGAAAAAAAGGCAACCCUCUACCUGUAGAUCCUUAAGCCUGAGCCCUAACCAGCUGCAGAGCUGGCUCAGAGAACCCUUCGUUACAUAAAGCUUCUGCCCCUGACUGAGGGAUGAACACAGCACCUCCUCACCGGCAGUUAGCUGCUGCCCCUCAGAUUCCCAAAGCCUGCCCUUGGGAUUCAGGGUCAGGCCCAGGCUCAGCCCCAAUUGCCCUUGUAUUCAGGCUUUUCCUACUACAGCCUCCUCAAAGUUAUUUCUGCUUGCUCCAGUAGGGGAGCUAGGCAGCUGCUCUGAGUUUUGCCGUCUGGGCUUAGAACAGCUUGAAGUUAGCACAAAGGCGAAUGAAGCUUUAAAUCUCCAGCACUUAACAGCUUCUCUGCAGCCUCAGAGGAUCCUCAAACAACGCUGCAACCUAGGGAGAAAAGGAAAUGUGAUAUUCAUUGAGAUUCCUCAUGUCCCAGGUCACCUAAGGAUGGGAGCUGGUCAUCAGAGGAACCAAUCCUGCGAUCAGAGGGCUGGAAUUUUCAGUCCCAUCGCCAGCCCCCCCCCCAACCAACAUCUUCCAGGAGGAGAGAGGGACUGGAGAUCGAGUUCAGUCACCAAUGGCCAAUGAUUUAAUCAAUCGUGCCUAUGUAAUGAAGCCUCCAUAAAAACCCAAAAGAUGGGGUUCACAGAGCUUCUGGGUUGAUGAACAUGUGGAGAUGUGGGGAGAGUGGCGGGCCCAGAGAGAGCAUGGAAGCUCCACGACCUUUCCCACAUGCCUUGCUCUAUACAUCUCUUCCAUUCGGCUGUUCCUGAGUUAUAUCCUUUAUAAUAAACUGGUAAUCUAGUAAGUAAAAUGUUCCUCUGAGUUCUGUGAGCCACUGUAGGAAAUUAAUUGAACCCAAGGAGGGGGUUGUUGGAACCUCUAAUCUAUAGCAGGUCAAUCAGAAGCACAGGUGACAGCCUGGACUUGCAGUUGGUGUCUGAAGCGGGGGCACUCUUAUAGAACCAAGCCCUUAACCUGUGGGAUCUGACACUAUCGCCAGGUAGAUAGUCAGAAUU
Molecule: long non-coding RNA, 2312 nt
Filed under: Equus asinus (donkey)
Lineage: Eukaryota; Metazoa; Chordata; Mammalia; Perissodactyla; Equidae
Description: lncRNA (ENSEASG00005037613.1)
Source: RNAcentral